UUCCAUGAAGCCGGAAUUGCUAGUAAUGGCAGGUCAGCAUACUGCCGUGAAUACGUUCCCGGGCCUUGUACACACCGCCCGUCACACCAUGAGAGUUGGGAAUACCCGAAGCCUGUGAGCCAACCGUAAGGGGGCAGCAGUCGAAGGUAGAAUCAAUGAUUGGGGUGAAGUCGUAACAAGGUAGC
This 185-nucleotide ribosomal RNA is filed under the name uncultured bacterium. RNAcentral's name for it is "partial 16S ribosomal RNA". It matches the Rfam family "Bacterial small subunit ribosomal RNA", at positions 1316 to 1500 of the family's 1533-position model. The record is from RNAcentral.